GACGAACGCUGGCGGCGUGCUUAACACAUGCAAGUCGAACGAAAGGACGGGAAGAGCUUGCUCUUUCCGGAAUUGAGUGGCAAACGGGUGAGUAACACGUAAACAACCUGCCUUCAGGAUGGGGACAACAGACGGAAACGACUGCUAAUACCGAAUAAGUUCCAAGAGCCGCAUGGCCCAUGGAAGAAAAGGUGGCCUCUACCUGUAAGCUAUCGCCUGAAGAGGGGUUUGCGUCUGAUUAGCUGGUUGGAGGGGUAACGGGCCCACCCAAGGCGACGAUCAGUAGCCGGUCUGAGAGGAUGAACGGCCACACUGGAACUGAGACACGGUCCAGACUCCUACGGGAGGCAGCAGUGGGGAAUCUUCCGCAAUGGGCGAAAGCCUGACGGAGCAACGCCGCGUGAGUGA
RNAcentral lists this ribosomal RNA (408 nucleotides) under uncultured bacterium. RNAcentral's name for it is "bacterial SSU rRNA". It matches the Rfam family "Bacterial small subunit ribosomal RNA", at positions 28 to 408 of the family's 1533-position model. The record is from RNAcentral.